RNAcentral lists this ribosomal RNA (253 nucleotides) under uncultured bacterium. RNAcentral describes it as "partial 16S ribosomal RNA". It matches the Rfam family "Bacterial small subunit ribosomal RNA", at positions 524 to 776 of the family's 1533-position model. The record is from RNAcentral.
UACGGAGGGUGCAAGUGUUAUCCGGAAUCACUGGGCGUAAAGCGUCUGUAGGUGGUUUAAUAAGUCAACUGUUAAAUCUUGAGGCUCAACCUCAAAAUCGCAGUCGAAACUAUUAGGCUAGAGUAUAGUAGGGGUAAAGGGAAUUUCCAGUGGAGCGGUGAAAUGCGUAGAGAUUGGAAAGAACACCGAUGGCGAAGGCACUUUACUGGGCUAUUACUAACACUGAGGGACGAAAGCUAGGGGAGCGAAAGGG